RNAcentral lists this ribosomal RNA (301 nucleotides) under uncultured bacterium. RNAcentral describes it as "partial 16S ribosomal RNA". It matches the Rfam family "Bacterial small subunit ribosomal RNA", at positions 509 to 807 of the family's 1533-position model. The record is from RNAcentral.
CAGCCGCCGCGGUAAUACAGAGGGUGCAAGCGUUAAUCGGAAUUACUGGGCGUAAAGCGCGCGUAGGUGGUUUGUUAAGUUGGAUGUGAAAUCCCCGGGCUCAACCUGGGAACUGCAUCCAAAACUGGCAGGCUAGAGUAGGGCAGAGGGUGGUGGAAUUUCCUGUGUAGCGGUGAAAUGCGUAGAUAUAGGAAGGAACACCAGUGGCGAAGGCGACCACCUGGGCUCAUACUGACACUGAGGUGCGAAAGCGUGGGGAGCAAACAGGAUUAGAUACCCGUGUAGUCCCUGUCUCUUAUAC